This 497-nucleotide ribosomal RNA is filed under the name uncultured bacterium. RNAcentral describes it as "partial 16S ribosomal RNA". It matches the Rfam family "Bacterial small subunit ribosomal RNA", at positions 28 to 507 of the family's 1533-position model. The record is from RNAcentral.
GAUGAACGCUGGCGGCGUGCCUAAUACAUGCAAGUCGAGCGAACAGACGAGGAGCUUGCUCCUCUGACGUUAGCGGCGGACGGGUGAGUAACACGUGGAUAACCUACCUAUAAGACUGGGAUAACUUCGGGAAACCGGAGCUAAUACCGGAUAAUAUAUUGAACCGCAUGGUUCAAUAGUGAAAGACGGUUUUGCUGUCACUUAUAGAUGGAUCCGCGCCGCAUUAGCUAGUUGGUAAGGUAACGGCUUACCAAGGCAACGAUGCGUAGCCGACCUGAGAGGGUGAUCGGCGACACUGGAAGUGAGACACGGUCCAGACUCCUACGGGAGGCAGCAGUAGGGAAUCUUCCGCAAUGGGCGAAAGCCUGACGGAGCAACGCCGCGUGAGUGAAGAAGGUCUUCGGAUCGUAAAACUCUGUUAUUGGGGAAAAACAAAUGUGUAAGUGACUAUGCACGUCUUGACGGUACCUAAUCAGAAAGCAACGGCUAACUACGUG